AUUGACCGCUGGCGGCAGGCCUAACACAUGCAAGUCGAGCGAGCGGCGGACGGGUGAGUAAUGUAUGGGGACUGCCCGAUAGAGGGGGAUAACUACUGGAAACGGUAGCUAAUACCGCAUACUAUCGUAUACACCAUAAGGGAUUAGCUAGUAGGUGAGGUAAUGGCUCACCUAGGCUACGAUCCCUAGCUGGUCUGAGAGGAUGAUCAUCCACACUGGGACGGAGACACGGCCCAGACUCCUACGGAGGCAGCAGUAGGGAAUAUUGCACAAUGGGCGCAAGCCUGAUGCAGCCAUGCGGCGUGUGUGAAGAAGGCCCUAGGGUUGUAAAGGACUUUCAGUCGGUAGGCGUUACCGACAGAAGAAGCACCGGCUAACUCCGUGCCAGCAGCCGCGGUAAUAC
RNAcentral lists this ribosomal RNA (403 nucleotides) under uncultured bacterium. RNAcentral describes it as "partial 16S ribosomal RNA". It matches the Rfam family "Bacterial small subunit ribosomal RNA", at positions 30 to 526 of the family's 1533-position model. The record is from RNAcentral.